AAGGGAACACAAAGGGAAAGAAGGGAAUAGAAAAGGGAAAGGAAAAUGGGGAAGAAGAGAAUAGAAAGGGAAAGGAAAGUGGGAAAGAUGGGAAAGACAAGUGGGAAAAAGGGGAAUACAAAGGGAAGGGCAAGUGGGAAAGAAGGGAAGACAAAAAGAAAGACAAAUGGGAAAGAGGAAAAUACAAAGGGAAAGGCAAGUGGUAAAGAUGGGAACAGAAAAGGGAAAGGAAAAUAGGGAAGAAGGGAACACAAAGGGAAAGAAGGGAACACAAAGGGAAAGGCAAAUGGGGAAGAAGGGAACAGAAAAGGGAAAUGCAAGUGGGAAAGAAAAAAAAUACAAAGGGAGACAAGUGGGAAAGAUGGGAAUACAAAGGGAAAGGCAAGUGGGAAAGAAAGGAAUACAAAAAGACAGACAAGUGGGAAAGAGGGGAAUACAAAAAGAAAAACAAGUAGGAAUGAAGGGAAUAGAAGGGGAAAGGCAAGUGGGAAAGAAGGGAACAGAAAAGGGAAAGGAAAAUGGGAAAGAAGGGAAUAGAAAGGGAAAAGCGAGUGGGAAAGAGGAAAAUACAAAGGGAAAGGAAAAUGGGGAAGAAGGGAACACAAAGGGAAAAGCAGGAAAGCUUCACUCCAAGCCAGGCUCAGUUCAGACAAUCAGUGGAGCUGUUUCAGCACUGAAGCCUGAUAAGGAAUUNAAAUUCCAAUUUUCCAAUUGGAAUUCUAGUCUUCACAGGAAAAAAAAAAAGAAUUAUUUUAAGAUGAGGCCUUUUCCCUCCAGGGGAGUUUGGGUUAGGUUUUUGUAGAUUUUAGUGAAAUGUUUUUUCUCUUGCAGAAACUUCCCCAGUCAUUGAGAAAGGGCCUCAAACACCUCAGGAACAGUGAGAUGAAGCCCCAAGGGACAAACCUGCUGGAGAACCCUUGGGAGGAGAUGUUUGCACUCACAGCAGAUGCACAGGAGGCCAAGAGCUGAGCUUUGGCAAGGGAAAAAAAAAUAAUCUAGAAUGAUGCCAAGGUCUUGAUUUUAAACAAGAUAAAAGAGUUUCGUGGCAGGAAAGAGAAAGUGUCAAAGGGAAUAUUUUAAGCUUAAAAUAAAUGAAGGUUAAAUUUAGCUUUGGCA
RNAcentral lists this long non-coding RNA (1116 nucleotides) under Zonotrichia albicollis (white-throated sparrow). RNAcentral describes it as "lncRNA (ENSZALG00000007166.1)". Lineage: Eukaryota; Metazoa; Chordata; Aves; Passeriformes; Passerellidae. The record is from RNAcentral.